UACGUAGGGGGCUAGCGUUGUCCGGAAUCAUUGGGCGUAAAGAGCGCGUAGGCGGCCAGAUAAGUCCGGUGUGAAAGUCACAGGCUCAACCUGUGAAUGCCGCUGGAAACUGUCUGGCUAGAGUCCGGGAGGGGCGAGUGGAAUUCCUGGUGUAGCGGUGAAAUGCGCAGAUAUCAGGAAGAACACCCGUGGCGAAGGCGGUUCUCUGGGACGGUACUGACGCUGAGACGCGAAAGCGUGGGGAGCGAACAGG
Molecule: ribosomal RNA, 253 nt
Filed under: uncultured bacterium
Lineage: Bacteria
Description: partial 16S ribosomal RNA
Rfam family: Bacterial small subunit ribosomal RNA
Source: RNAcentral